RNAcentral lists this small RNA (920 nucleotides) under Pongo abelii (Sumatran orangutan). RNAcentral's name for it is "processed transcript". The record is from RNAcentral. Lineage: Eukaryota; Metazoa; Chordata; Mammalia; Primates; Hominidae.
GAGCGGAGCAGCGCUGGCCGCGUGCCGCCUCCGGAGCCGGCAGCGUGAGUGGUCCCGCGUCCCCGCUUCUCCCGGUGCCCGGCGGGGCCGCGUCACCCGGCCCCGCCCCGCGCCGCCCGCCCCGCCCCGGACGCGGGGGUAAGGGGGGUCGCCGCCCGCCUGCCCUCGGUCCUGUGCGGUCCCCGAAGCUCCGAGCACCUGCCCGGUCCCUGCGCGGAGCCCCUCGGCGUCGCGUGGAGCUGCGAGUCGCCCGCUUCCGGAAGCGCACACGGGCCAGUUGCGGCGGCCCAUCUGCCAGGGCGGCGGGGGCUCAGCGGGAGGGUUGAGGCUGAAUCACGCGCAGCCUGCGGGCGGCGGAAACGUCCCUAGAGCCUCGCCGCCCCGGGACCCGGGCUGCUUCCUGGGAGAAGAUUACAUUUUCUCCCUGCUCCACUUGACUUUCUUCCGGAAGGAGCAGGUCUCGCAGGAUCGGGGCCAAGGCUGGAAGAGUUCAGGUUUGGGAGUCGUGUGUGUAACAGCCCCACGCCUCCACGCCCUGGCCCGUGUGGCUUUGGGCAAGUUAUAUAACCACCGCCGCCACCCUAGUUUCUUCUCCUGUAAAAUGGAGCUUUAGUGCCGCCCAGCAGGGUUGUUGGGAUAAUUCAGUGACUCUGUGGACUGCCCAGCACCUGUGAAUUGCUUUCCUGGAUGUUGGGUGAAAGGCUGUGAGCUUCCCCAUGGCUGGGGGUUAUGGAGUGAUGGGUGACGAUGGUUCUAUUGAUUAUACUGUUCACGAAGCCUGGAAUGAAGCCACCAAUGUUUACUUGAUAGUUAUCCUUGUUAGCUUCGGUCUCUUCAUGUAUGCCAAAAGGAUAUUUGGCUUUUGGAGGAUUGAGGAGAAUCACAAUGGAGAAACUUCACUUUGUUGUGUUAAAUGGAUG